RNAcentral lists this small RNA (639 nucleotides) under Drosophila yakuba. RNAcentral's name for it is "GE28576". Lineage: Eukaryota; Metazoa; Arthropoda; Insecta; Diptera; Drosophilidae. The record is from RNAcentral.
GAUUAAGGUGGUGCUAGUCAUGAUAAAGCCACAUCGGUUGACUCAUCGUGGGUGCUUCUAAAUGUAUUUCCAAAAACUGGUCAAUCUUAUCGGGUUCAGAGGUACUCAACCUGCCUGUAUGAAUAAAAUUUCAACACAUUUCCCAUCAAUGUCGACAGAAAGUGCGACCCUUAUCAAAUAUUUUACGGCGAUCAGAUAGACCGAUGGAUUUUUUAUCAUUUUAGCCAAACAAAAAAUCUCACGUAAUGUUGUAUGGCCAAACACUCAAUACUUGGUAACUCAAAGGUGCUGAUUAUUUACCCGCCACUGUAUGUUUCACUAGCCAUUGACAUUGAGCAAACUUCGGCAAAUGGCACGUGAGCGGGAAAGAGAUGGCGAAAGAGCGAGAGAGCCGGCAAGAUAAAGAAGCCGAUAUGUUGAAGACGAUCGUAUGCAAUCCUAUUUAAACGGUCGUAACAUUUGUUUUGACCACUAUCAGAAUGAGCGACCACUAUCAGCAUGGCUCCUGCUGGAAAUUCCACCAGUCAUGCUUCGCUUCCAGUUUCCAAACCUCAAUGUGCAGCAUGACUGAGCUGUUUGCAUGUACAUAUAUAAGUAUCCCGGUGCCCCAAUAUUUAUCAACCCCGACUUUCACUUACG